Molecule: ribosomal RNA, 434 nt
Filed under: Platysuccinea portoricensis
Lineage: Eukaryota; Metazoa; Mollusca; Gastropoda; Stylommatophora; Sagdidae
Description: partial 16S ribosomal RNA
Source: RNAcentral
AGUCUAAUGAAAAGUAAUAUUAGAUGUAUUCUGCUCAAUGAAGAUUAAAUGGCCGCAGUACCCUGACUGUGCAAAGGUAGCAUAAUAAUUUGGCUUAUAAUUGAAGUCGGGAAUGAAUGAGUGUUUGGGUAUAUGCUUUCUUAACUAAAAUACUAUAAAUUUUCUUAAUAAGUGAAAAUUCUUAUAAAAUUAAAUUAGACGAGAAGACCCUAAAAAUUUUAAGAAAUAUUUAUGCUUUUUGUUGGGGCGACAUGUCUACAUUUUUAACUAGACUAAAUAUAUGAAUUACAUAAAAACUAUAUUAGAACUGUUUAAAUUACUUUAGGGAUAACAGCAUAAUUUAUAUAUUAGUUUGUGACCUCGAUGUUGGACUAGGAUAAUUUAAAUCUAAAAGGUUUAAGUAAAGGUUCUGUUCGAACUUAAUCUCCUACAUG